This 330-nucleotide ribosomal RNA is filed under the name uncultured bacterium. Its description in RNAcentral is "bacterial SSU rRNA". It matches the Rfam family "Bacterial small subunit ribosomal RNA", at positions 8 to 334 of the family's 1533-position model. The record is from RNAcentral.
AGGGUUUGAUUAUGGCUCAGGAUGAACGCUAGCGACAGGCUUAACACAUGCAAGUCGAGGGGCAGCGGGGGUAGCAAUACCCGCCGGCGACCGGCGCACGGGUGAGUAACGCGUAUGCAACUUACCUAUCAGAGGGGGAUAACCCGGCGAAAGUCGGACUAAUACCGCAUGAAGCAGGGAUCCCGCAUGGGAAUAUUUGCUAAAGAUUCAUCGCUGAUAGAUAGGCAUGCGUUCCAUUAGGCAGUUGGCGGGGUAACGGCCCACCAAACCGACGAUGGAUAGGGGUUCUGAGAGGAAGGUCCCCCACAUUGGUACUGAGACACGGACCAA